This 63-nucleotide transfer RNA is filed under the name unidentified. Its description in RNAcentral is "Cteniopinus hypocrita tRNA-Gly". The record is from RNAcentral.
ACUUAAAUAGUAUAAAAAUUAUUUCUAGCUUCCAACUAGAAGAUCUAAAAAAUAGUUUGAGUA